GGGGAAUAUUGGACAAUGGGGGAAACCCUGAUCCAGCGACGCCGCGUGGGUGAAGAAGGCCUGCGGGUUGUAAAGCCCUUUCAGUGGGGAAGAAAAGCCUCGAGUUAACACCUCGGGGUCUUGACGUAACCCAUAGAAGAAGCACCGGCUAACUCUGUGCCAGCAGCCGCGGUAAUACAGAGGGUGCGAGCGUUAAUCGGAAUUACUGGGCGUAAAGCGCGCGUAGGCGGCUUUGCAAGUCGGGUGUGAAAUCCCCAGGCUUAACCUGGGAACUGCAUUCGAGACUGCAUUGCUAGAGUAUGGGAGAGGGAAGUGGAAUUUCCGGUGUAGCGGUGAAAUGCGUAGAUAUCGGAAGGAACACCAGUGGCGAAGGCGACUACCUGGCCUGUUCUUGACGCUGAGGCGCGAAAGCUAGGGGAGCAAA
This 424-nucleotide ribosomal RNA is filed under the name uncultured bacterium. RNAcentral describes it as "bacterial SSU rRNA". It matches the Rfam family "Bacterial small subunit ribosomal RNA", at positions 356 to 772 of the family's 1533-position model. The record is from RNAcentral.